RNAcentral lists this small nuclear RNA (107 nucleotides) under Octodon degus (degu). The record is from RNAcentral. Lineage: Eukaryota; Metazoa; Chordata; Mammalia; Rodentia; Octodontidae.
GUGCUCACCUCGGCAGCACAUGUACUACAAUUGGAAUGAUACAGAGAAGAUUAGCACAGCCACUGGGCAAGGAUGACACACAAAUUCAUGAAGCGUUCCAUAUUUUU